This 246-nucleotide long non-coding RNA is filed under the name Elaeis guineensis (African oil palm). RNAcentral's name for it is "long non-coding RNA (EGUI_LNC053787)". Lineage: Eukaryota; Viridiplantae; Streptophyta; Magnoliopsida; Arecales; Arecaceae. The record is from RNAcentral.
CAAUAUGAAACCCGUAGCUCUAAUACCACUGUUGGAAUUCGAGGUUUGGGGUAUGCAUAUAUAUUUUAAUUUUUUUUUUCUAAACACCAUAGUAGAAUACAAGAUUAAAAUAUUUUUAAUCUAAAUUAUACAUGCAUAAAAAUAUAAAACCACAAGAAUCUAGUUUAUGUACUGAAAUUGACAUAUGCUGAAAUUCAGAUUGUAAUCAAAUCGCAUACCUGUUUCGCAGUCCUUUUCUUCAAAUCU